Molecule: transfer RNA, 76 nt
Filed under: Methanoculleus marisnigri JR1
Lineage: Archaea; Methanobacteriati; Methanobacteriota; Methanomicrobia; Methanomicrobiales; Methanomicrobiaceae
Description: tRNA-Gln
Rfam family: tRNA
About the family: Transfer RNA (tRNA) molecules are approximately 80 nucleotides in length. Their secondary structure includes four short double-helical elements and three loops (D, anti-codon, and T loops). Further hydrogen bonds mediate the characteristic L-shaped molecular structure. tRNAs have two regions of fundamental functional importance: the anti-codon, which is responsible for specific mRNA codon recognition, and the 3' end, to which the tRNAs corresponding amino acid is attached (by aminoacyl-tRNA synthetases). tRNAs cope with the degeneracy of the genetic code in two manners: having more than one tRNA (with a specific anti-codon) for a particular amino acid; and 'wobble' base-pairing, i.e. permitting non-standard base-pairing at the 3rd anti-codon position.
Source: RNAcentral
ACCCCCGUAGUGUAGUGGUCAAUCAUGCAGGACUUUGGAUCCGGCGACGGCGGUUCGAAUCCGCCCGGGGGUACUA